Molecule: long non-coding RNA, 526 nt
Organism: Strigops habroptila (Kakapo)
Lineage: Eukaryota; Metazoa; Chordata; Aves; Psittaciformes; Psittacidae
Exons: 3
Source: RefSeq, a predicted model, not a curated record
CCCUAAAGCACCCCCAGAGCACCCUCAGGACCCACAGAGCAUCCCGGGGAUACCCCUAGAGAAUGCCAGGGAAGGCCUGGAGCACCUCCAGAGCCCCCCAUGGACCCCACCAGAGCCCCCGCAUCACGAUGAUCAUGAGGACCACGGGGUGGCUGAUUCUGGAACACCCCAUGUUCAGGUGUGCGAGGCCACAGAACCCCAUGGAACCCGUCACCGGAGGCACCAGGAGAUGACAACUGCCCCACGGAACACAAGCUGCCGGUGGAGGAGGCAACAGCAGCUCCCCUGGUGGUUCCCGUCUUGGUGUCUUGGUGCCGGUGACGUCUGUGGGCACAUGAGCAUGGAACGAGGUGUGCGAGGCCAUGGAACCCCACGGAACCCGUCACCGGAGGCACCAGGAGAUGACAACUGCCCCACGGAACACAAGCUACCGGUGGAGGAGGCAACAGCAGCUCCCCUGGUGGUUCCCGUCUUGGUGUCUUGGUGCCGGUGACGUCUGUGGACACAUGAGCAUGGAACGAGGUGG